CGAUUGUGAUUUCACAUAAUAAAUACUGAAGUUCAGUACUAGCUCCAAGGUGAGUAGUUCAAUUACUGACAAUGCAGGUAAUUAAGUGGUUAGCUAAAAUGAUAAGGAGUUGAUGUAUUCACUCUAGUCAUGUGUCUGAUUUCCUGAAAGUUGUUAAUCUGUCGGAUGCAUAUUUUUUCCUAGAUGCCCCCACUCCUCCAUCGCCAGGUUCUCCAUCUUCUUAGAUCCCUCCCUGCCAUGACGAACAUCUCCCUUGACGCCGGAAACUGCAUUUUGUGUUCACUAACCUACCGAUCCUCUAGAGGCCCACUAUCCAGAUUUGAUGUGAUAGGGUACAACAUGUAAAUAUAUAUAAUUCAGCUAUCCAUGAUCUAUCAAUCUUACCAAGAUGGUUUUUAUCUUAUAGGACAUCAUAAGUGCAAAUAGGAGUUGAAAGAAAGCAUGUUCCAGCAGAAAAAAAUGUUUAUGUGCACACAACUUAAGUAGCGAACGCUGAAUGUCAAGAGCUCGAUGAGAAGGUUCGCAAUAUUUGGAAUAUCCUGAGUACAUGCGGUGUACAUCCGCUGAAAAUUACAAUCGAAACCAAACAACCAGGCUUAUGUCGUAAGUUAACUAUGAUCAGAGGGUCGACCGGUCUGAUCCCGCGUCUGGGCUCGCCCCACUCCUUGCCCGCCACCAGCAACGAUGCGUCCUUCCCAUCACUCCACCACCUUAUAGCCAAGAGGACCAGACGCCUCUUUGCCUCAUGUUCUACCAGCGCUCAAGGCAAAGAUGUAGCCCUUCGAGACCUACAAUGACAAUAUCAGAUUUCUCCACACCUACAAGAACUUAAGUGGCUUUCUUGAUUCCUAAUGGUGAGAUUCUCCAUGUCCAGUACUGUACCAUAAAUAACUUCAAUAUGUAUUAAAUAGUGCUGAUGAAUGCGUGGGUGGGGAAAUGUAUAAUUCAGCACAUUUCUCAGUUCUAUAGGAAGUUUUAUCCUUGAGCUGGACCAUCAGGUAUCCACCUCUGAAACCACACUUCUGGUGUCCCCCUCUUUUUUUACCUCAAGUAUGGAUUACCC
RNAcentral lists this ribosomal RNA (1063 nucleotides) under Triticum aestivum (bread wheat). RNAcentral's name for it is "partial small subunit ribosomal RNA". Lineage: Eukaryota; Viridiplantae; Streptophyta; Magnoliopsida; Poales; Poaceae. The record is from RNAcentral.